Molecule: long non-coding RNA, 1527 nt
Organism: Anguilla rostrata (American eel)
Lineage: Eukaryota; Metazoa; Chordata; Actinopteri; Anguilliformes; Anguillidae
Exons: 3
Source: RefSeq, a predicted model, not a curated record
CUCAUCACCGUCAGGGCCUGGCACCUUACACAGAUGGAACUGGAAUGGAAUUUGUUAAUUAAGAUCAGGAAAGAAUAAUUAAUUACUGUGCCUAUGGAUGUAGACAAAGCAGCAAGUGUAUCACAAUUAUAUUUCGCAUUAAUUACUCUCAAAGCCUUUUUCACAACUUGCCAAUCGCCUUCUAAGGUUAAUGCGCCUGUUGACUCACGUUGAACACUGUAAUUUUUUCCCUCGUGUACCUUCGAUGCAAGUUAAUUCGUCAGAGGGUUUCAGUCUACCGCUGCAUAAUCUGAUGAAAGUUGUCAUUAAAACACAGCUUUCUGCUCCCCAUGUGUGAGAUAUGGCAUCCAUGAUAGGAGGUGAAUGCGAGGAUAACGUCCUAAUGUUCAGAGGUCAAGCAGCACACAUGCUGCAGAGAAAUGAAUCAUUGCUCUGUGACUGUGGUUAAUAUCAACCCAAGCUUCCUGGUGCCAGUAGUCAUUUUUCUUCAGAGGUGAAUGAGGAUGGCACGUUUCCUUUUAACUUCCCCCAAAACAAAUGCCCCCCUGGGUCACAAGGGGGACGGUGAAAGGUCUGACAUUUUAUUUGAUGGCACACUAUUCUCUACGCCCACGCUCCCCGAAGAAUAUAAAGACAUCACUGGAAAAUGUCAGGAACCUGUACUCAGCACCUCUUUAUCAAAGACACUUCCCAGGUGGCCUCCAAUUGCACUGCCGCAUUCGACGGGCAUUGGGAUUGCUGGUUCAGUGGAAGGAUUGAAGUCAGCGGAAUCAAUUCUCGGCACUCUGAUUUCCCAUGACGGAGGGGACUGAGGUGACAGUGUGGGGGCGGGGUGGUGGGAUGGGGGGCAGUAACGUUACAGAAAGGGUGUAGUUCAGUGGCCCUUUAAUCCAUUUACUAGUUCAGAAAAUCUCAGAAGUGGAAGGUGAAACUAGUUUCCCCCAGACACUCUCAGUACUGGAAAGUGAAACUAGCUUCUUCCAGACACUAUGGGAAUUGGAAGAUAAAACCAGUUUCCUCCAGACACACUCAGAACUGGAAGGUGAAACUAGUUUCCUUUGGACACUCGGAACUGGAAGGUGAAACUAGUUUCUUCUAGGCUUUCUCAGAACUGGAAGGUGAAAUGAGUUUACUCCAGAAAAUCUAUGAACUGGAAGGUGAAACUAGCUUCUUCCAGACACUCUCAGAACUGGAAGGUGACGCGAGAUUCAUCCAGGCACUCAGAACUAGAAGAUGAAGCUAGUUUCCUCCAGACAAUCUCAGAAUUGGAAGCUAAAUCAGCAUGUGUGUGCGUACAAACCUUAUCAGAAUGUAGCUAUAGUAAAAAGCCGUAGUGCUCUUGUUUUAAACUUCGUCCUGUCUUUUUUGCCUUUUGUUCAUUCAUAAUUUUGUUAGUCAACUGUUCAUUCAUAAUGUUAAUAAUCAAAUGUUGUUUUUGUGCUCACUGGUGUUGUAUUACAAACCUUUUUCCCAACGCUGAUGCAGUGCACAUUUCAAACUUGUACAAAAAAUAAAAGCUUUCCAUUA